RNAcentral lists this ribosomal RNA (341 nucleotides) under uncultured bacterium. RNAcentral describes it as "bacterial SSU rRNA". It matches the Rfam family "Bacterial small subunit ribosomal RNA", at positions 133 to 507 of the family's 1533-position model. The record is from RNAcentral.
AAAGUGAGGGAUAACGCACCGAAGGUGUGCUAAUACCGCAUAUGGUCUUCGGAUUAAAGGAUUUAUCCGCUUUGGGAGUGGCCCGCGUACGAUUAGAUUGUUGGUGAGGUAACGGCUCACCAAGUCGACGAUCGUUAACUGGUCUGAGAGGAUGAUCAGUCAGACUGGAACUGAGACACGGUCCAGACUCCUACGGGAGGCAGCAGUAAGGAAUCUUCCACAAUGGGCGAAAGCCUGAUGGAGCAACGCCGCGUGCAGGAUGAAGGCCCUCGGGUCGUAAACUGCUUUUAUGAGUGAAGAAUAUGACGGUAACUCAUGAAUAAGCACCGGCUAACUACGUG